This 427-nucleotide ribosomal RNA is filed under the name uncultured bacterium. RNAcentral's name for it is "partial 16S ribosomal RNA". It matches the Rfam family "Bacterial small subunit ribosomal RNA", at positions 355 to 774 of the family's 1533-position model. The record is from RNAcentral.
UGGGGAAUAUUGCACAAUGGGCACAAGCCUGAUGCAGCCAUGCCGCGUGUAUGAAGAAGGCCUUCGGGUUGUAAAGUACUUUCAGCGAGGAGGAAGGCGUUGUGGUUAAUAACCGCAACGAUUGACGUUACUCGCAGAAGAAGCACCGGCUAACUCCGUGCCAGCAGCCGCGGUAAUACGGAGGGUGCAAGCGUUAAUCGGAAUUACUGGGCGUAAAGCGCACGCAGGCGGUCUGUCAAGUCGGAUGUGAAAUCCCCGGGCUCAACCUGGGAACUGCAUCCGAAACUGGCAGGCUAGAGUCUUGUAGAGGGGGGUAGAAUUCCAGGUGUAGCGGUGAAAUGCGUAGAGAUCUGGAGGAAUACCGGUGGCGAAGGCGGCCCCCUGGACAAAGACUGACGCUCAGGUGCGAAAGCGUGGGGAGCAAACA